UAGGCAUUUGGGCCCUGGCUGGUUAGCUCAGUUGGUUAGGGCAUCAUCCUAAUAUGCUGAGGUUGCAGAUUCAAUAGCCAGUCAGGGAACAUACAAGAAUCAGCCAACGAAUGCAUAAAUAAGUAUAGCAAUAAACUGGUGUUUCUCUCUCUCUCUCUUCCU
This is a long non-coding RNA of Phyllostomus discolor (pale spear-nosed bat), 162 nucleotides long. RefSeq lists it as uncharacterized. The transcript has 3 exons. The record is from RefSeq and is a predicted model, not a curated record. NCBI's taxonomy places the organism in Eukaryota, Metazoa, Chordata, Mammalia, Chiroptera, Phyllostomidae.